CCUGUGUGGGUGCGCAGGUGUUGGUUCAGAUGAGUCUUUUGUGAGCAGCUCUGAGGGCAUGCAGGGCACUGAAAUGGCCUCUCGCCUGUGUGGGUGCGCAGGUGUCGGCUCAGAUUACACUUUUGUGAGAAGCUCUGAGAGCAUGAAGGGCACUGAAAUGGCCUGUCACCUGUGUGGGUGCACAGGUGUCGGUUCAGAUGACUCUUUUGUGUGAAGCUCUGAGGGCAUGCAGGGCACUGAAACGGUCUCUCGCCAGUGUGGGUGCGCAGGUGUCGGUUCAGAUUACAAUUUUGUGAGAAGCUCUGAGGGCAUGCAGGGCACUGAAAUGGCCUCUCGCCUGUGUGGAUGCGCACAUGUUUCUUCAGUGUGGUCUUGAGUGAGAAGCUUUGAGGGCACGCACUGAAAUGGCUUCUCGCCUGUGUGGGUGCGCAUGUGUCGGUUCAGAUUACAAUUUUGUGAGAAGCUCUGAGGGCAUGCAGGGCACUGAAAUGGCCUCUCGCCUGUGU
This is a long non-coding RNA of Dermacentor silvarum, 506 nucleotides long. RefSeq lists it as uncharacterized. The transcript has 5 exons. The record is from RefSeq and is a predicted model, not a curated record. NCBI's taxonomy places the organism in Eukaryota, Metazoa, Arthropoda, Arachnida, Ixodida, Ixodidae.